This 439-nucleotide ribosomal RNA is filed under the name uncultured bacterium. RNAcentral's name for it is "partial 16S ribosomal RNA". It matches the Rfam family "Bacterial small subunit ribosomal RNA", at positions 338 to 795 of the family's 1533-position model. The record is from RNAcentral.
CCUACGGGUGGCAGCAGUAGGGAAUAUUGCUCAAUGGGGGAAACCCUGAAGCAGCAACGCCGCGUGGAGGAUGAAGGUUUUCGGAUUGUAAACUACUGUCCCCAGGGACGAAGAUGACGGUACCUGGGGAGGAAGCUCCGGCUAACUACGUGCCAGCAGCCGCGGUAAUACGUAGGGAGCGAGCGUUGUCCGGAAUUACUGGGUGUAAAGGGAGCGUAGGCGGGGAUGCAAGUUGGGUGUUAAAUCUACCGGCUCAACUGGUAGUCGCACUCAAAACUGCAGCUCUUGAGUGAAGUAGAGGCAGGCGGAAUUCCUAGUGUAGCGGUGAAAUGCGUAGAUAUUAGGAGGAACACCAGUGGCGAAGGCGGCCUGCUGGGCUUUUACUGACGCUGAGGCUCGAAAGUGUGGGGAGCAAACAGGAUUAGAUACCCUGGUAGUC